This 484-nucleotide ribosomal RNA is filed under the name uncultured bacterium. RNAcentral's name for it is "partial 16S ribosomal RNA". It matches the Rfam family "Bacterial small subunit ribosomal RNA", at positions 30 to 507 of the family's 1533-position model. The record is from RNAcentral.
AUUGAACGCUGGCGGCAGGCCUAACACAUGCAAGUCGAGCGGAUGAAGGGAGCUUGCUCCUGGAUUCAGCGGCGGACGGGUGAGUAAUGCCUAGGAAUCUGCCUGGUAGUGGGGGAUAACGUCCGGAAACGGGCGCUAAUACUGCAUACGUCCUGAGGGUGAAAGUGGGGGAUCUUCGGACAUUACGCUAUCAGAUGAGCCUAGGUCGGAUUAGCUAGUUGGUGGGGUAAAGGCCUACCAAGGCGACGAUUCGUAUCUGGUCUGAGAGGAUGAUCACUCACACUGGAACUGGAACACGGUCCAUGCUCCUACGGGAGGCAGCAGUGGGGAAUAUUGGACAGAGGGCGAAAGCCUUAUCCAGCCAUGCCGCGUGUGUGAAGAAGGUCUUCGGAUUGUAAAGCACUUUAAGUUGGGAGGAAGGGCAGUAAGUUAAUACCUUGCUGUUUUGACGGUACCAACAGAAUAAGCACCGGCUAACUUCGUG